GCGCAGCAGUCGAGAAACUCCGCAAUACACGAAAGUGUGACGGGCCAUCCCGAGUGCCGUCCGCUGAGGACGGCUUUUCCCCAGUGUACACAGCUGGGGGAAUAAGGAGAGGGCAAGCCUGGUGUCAGCCGCCGCGGUAACACCAGCUCUCCGAGUGGUGGGGACGCUUAUUGGGCCUAAAGCAUCCGUAGCCGGCUGGGCAAGUUCUCCGUUAAAUCCAACGAUUCAAUCGUUGGGCUGCGGGGGAUACUGUCCAGCUUGGGGGCGGGAGAGGCCGACGGUAUUCCCGGGGUAGGGGUGAAAUCCUAUAAUCCCGGGAGGACCACCAGUGGCGAAGGCUGUCGGCUAGAACGCGCCCGACGGUGAGGGAUGAAAAGCUGGGGGAGCGAACCGGAUUAGAUACCCCUGUAGU
This 412-nucleotide ribosomal RNA is filed under the name uncultured microorganism. RNAcentral describes it as "bacterial SSU rRNA". It matches the Rfam family "Archaeal small subunit ribosomal RNA", at positions 330 to 745 of the family's 1478-position model. The record is from RNAcentral.